GACAGGGGAUGCAAGCGUUACUCGGAAUUACUGGGCGUAAAGCGUCUGCAGGUUCUUUGGUAAGUCUGAUGUCAAAACACGAAGCUCAACUCCGUGUACGUGUCGGAAACUACCGAAGUCGAGUCAUUCAGAGGCAUCUGGAAUGUCGUGUGUAGGGGUAAAAUCCGUAGAUCCACGAUGGAACGCCAAAAGCGAAGGCAGGAUGCUGGGAAUGUACUGACACUCAGAGACGAAAGCGUGGGGAGCAAAGGGG
Molecule: ribosomal RNA, 253 nt
Filed under: uncultured bacterium
Lineage: Bacteria
Description: partial 16S ribosomal RNA
Rfam family: Bacterial small subunit ribosomal RNA
Source: RNAcentral